AAUGAUGCAUUAAAUAUUUAUAAAUUCCAUCCAAGGAUUAUUGUUAUUAUUACUAUAUUAAUCCUACAUUAUAUCAGUACACCU
This is a long non-coding RNA of Octopus sinensis (East Asian common octopus), 84 nucleotides long. RefSeq lists it as uncharacterized. NCBI's taxonomy places the organism in Eukaryota, Metazoa, Mollusca, Cephalopoda, Octopoda, Octopodidae. The record is from RefSeq and is a predicted model, not a curated record. The transcript has 3 exons.